Molecule: long non-coding RNA, 409 nt
Organism: Oncorhynchus tshawytscha (Chinook salmon)
Lineage: Eukaryota; Metazoa; Chordata; Actinopteri; Salmoniformes; Salmonidae
Source: Ensembl
GGGAAGCUGAGGGUUGGGAUGUGGAACUAGAGACAAGUGGGAGGGGCUGAGGGAAGCUGAGGGUUGGGAUGUGGAACUAGAGACAAGUGGGAGGGGCUGAGGGAAGCUGAGGGUUGGGAUGUGGAACUAGAGACAAGUGGGAGGGGUGCUGAGGGUUGGGAUGUGGAACUAGAGACAAGUGGGAGGGGUGCUGAGGGUUGGGAUGUGGAACUAGAGACAAGUGGGAGUGGAGCUGAGGGUUGGGAUGUGGAACUAGAGACAAGUGGGAGUGGAGCUGAGGGUUGGGAUGUGGAACUAGAGACAAGUGGGAGUGGAGUUGCUCUGUGGGAGAUAGAAUGAUGGCCAAAGAUAAAAGUCAAUAUAAAACAUUAAAAAAGUAUGUUUGAAUGACACUAAGUGGCAGUGUUUU